Mesocricetus auratus (golden hamster) is the source of this 989-nucleotide long non-coding RNA. RefSeq lists it as uncharacterized. The transcript has 4 exons. Lineage: Eukaryota; Metazoa; Chordata; Mammalia; Rodentia; Cricetidae. The record is from RefSeq and is a predicted model, not a curated record.
AGACCCCACUGUGGGAUUAUUCAGACUACAGAGAGCCCGCGCCUCCCCCCCCUCCCCCGGGGCUCAGAGAUGAGCCAGUACUGGAUGCUCAGUUUCCCAGCGAUCUCAGGAGCAGUUUGGCUGCAUUACUCUGUCUCCGAAUCCAUCGUGAUGGUCCAGUCAGGAUGCUGACCAAGGCUGGGGUCAUGGGAAGGCUUGACUGAGGAUGGAGGGUCGCCUUUGAAGAACUCUCACACAGCCGGCUUGAGUUUCUGGUGAUGGACGUUUCCCAAACGUUGUACGUUACCUGCACAAGGCUUGAUUCAUUCGGCAAAAGCUGCACCAGUACAUCUCUUUGAGAUCCUACACUUGUUUACUUCGUGUCUAUUAGACUUUGCGGGGUUUGAUGCAGCUCAGUCCGUGACAGAACCCGAGCCCAGCAUAAGGGGAUGAAUGGACGAGUCUGGGUAAAACUGAUCCUCUCCCUAUGGAUCAGCGAAUGCACCUGCAGUGUGGAAAUAUGAAGACUGUCUCAGAAGGUUAUUGGGUGAGAAGCUGAAUGUGUACGAGGCCCCCUAACUUCAGGGCCCGGGGAAGCUCAUACUAUGAAGCUCUCAUCUCGAGGGUUGGAUGGGAUGUAUGGUUACUCUCCGCAGGGUCAUCAUAUGUGAAGCCCACCUUUAUGCUGGGGAGAUCAAAACUUGGUGUUGAGCUGCGGCUUUUAUAUGUAUGUAAAAGUUUAAAAAAUGACUGGAUUUGUUACUGCACAUUUAUAGCUAUUCUGAUGGUGGGCUGGUCAUUUUUAUAAGAGUAACAAAAUGGCGCUGGAGAAAUGUCUCAGCCGCUGACAGCACCAGCUGCUCUUCAGAGGACCUGGGUUCAGUUCCCAUCUCCACAUGGUGGCUCUCAGCCAUCUGAGCUCCAGUCUAGGGGAUCCCAUGCCCUCCUUGGGAUUCCAUGGGCACCAGGCCAUGCACAUGUUGUAUAUACAUAUGUGUAGGCAAAACACU